GGGGAUUUAGCUCAGUGGUAGAGCGCUUACCUAGGAAGCUCAAGGCCCUGGGUUCGGUCCCCAGCUCCCCA
This is a non-coding RNA of Rattus norvegicus (Norway rat), 71 nucleotides long. The record is from Rfam. NCBI's taxonomy places the organism in Eukaryota, Metazoa, Chordata, Mammalia, Rodentia, Muridae.